GAGCUCAGGGGGUGUCUGCAGACUUGGGCAGAACUUGAUGGCUUCUGACUCCUCCCUGCUACCCUCAAACCAGGCGUGGCUUCCCAGAGCAUGCAGGACAGGACCACAAGCCUGGUAUUGCCAAGACACGGAGGACACCAACCACAAAGCCCAGGAAGCUGGGGCUGUGGAAGCCCAAAACACAGAUGAAUGCUCCCAGUUCUGUGGCCCGAGCAACGAAGCCCAGCUGCCUCACCUG
Pan troglodytes (chimpanzee) is the source of this 238-nucleotide long non-coding RNA. RefSeq lists it as uncharacterized. The record is from RefSeq and is a predicted model, not a curated record. Lineage: Eukaryota; Metazoa; Chordata; Mammalia; Primates; Hominidae. The transcript has 3 exons.